UGCCACAUGGGUGUGUGGGACCCCAGGCAUCCCUGAUUUGAAGCACCUGCAUCCCUGGCAGCACACCAUCCUUCUAAAAAGGGGGAUCGAAGUAACCCCUGAUGCGCUUUCCCUAGAGUUGUGCCUAUGUAUAGCACAACCACACAAGGGGAGCCUCCUCAUUUGAGACCUUUUUAAUCUGCACGUACGCCAUUACCCAAUGG
Molecule: long non-coding RNA, 203 nt
Organism: Bufo bufo (common toad)
Lineage: Eukaryota; Metazoa; Chordata; Amphibia; Anura; Bufonidae
Exons: 3
Source: RefSeq, a predicted model, not a curated record